ACGUGUCAUAAUCUCCCCUUACUAUUGGAAUGGGGACAAUGGGCAUCUCCUUUACCUGCUUCAGGUAUACCUGAAGAGACUUCAGUUAGUAAAACCUUCCUUGCAUCUCUGCAUUGCUCCAUCUGCCCCUCCCCACUGAAGGAGGAAUCAACUGUCUGGCAAAUCUGGAAACAGGAACAGCCACCAAAGCAAACCUCACCUCAUUCUUGUUGGGAUAUGCCUGUGUCUGAUCUCCGCUCCACCAUGGGUUACAGGACUUUCCCCCUGAGAAGGAGACCUGCUAUUUCAGAGAGACAACUUUACUAGACAGGUUUCCCAAGUGAUGCAACCUGACGAGUUCUCCAAUCUGUAGAUGCCACUCAUCUUUACUGCAAUUAACUGCGGUCAAGGUACCAGGCUCAUGAAAUGAGAAAAGUCCUUUUUGUGAUCACUUCUGCCAUUAGGGGGAGGCACUUUGGGGAAGGGACAUGUUACUUCAGGAAUUUUCAAUUGAACACGAUUCAUCAAUUUCACACAGAGACAUCAAGUCCAGGAAGAGAAGCUAACAAAUAAUCUUGCACUCAAGGAACUUAUCUUUGUCAACUCUGUGGUCCAAUUUCUCAUAGAUCUUAAUCAGCAGAAGGCCUUUAAUAAGUGAUUUGUGAAUGAAUGGAAAGUCUGGAUGAAGAAAUAUAUGCUGGAAUCAGUGGCUUUCGCAAGAGGAAGGUGCCAGUGUAUUAAGUACGAGGGAACUGUCUUUGGCAGAAGGCCAAUCCUUUGGGAAUGAGGUCUUCUUAAUGAAAAAUUCUGCAAACCUGUUUCAAUUCACACAUUCAUUCAACAAAUAGUUAUUGGGUGCCCUUUAAUGUUCUCAGGUCACCUUCCCAAAAUAACUGCAAUGAAAAUGUUUUCCACUUUUUCCUCUUCAUCUAGAAAGAUCUAUUUUAAACGAUGGGAUUGUGGAUUUGAGCACUGCUUUUUGAACACAGUCACGAAUCCAGGCAUUUGGUCCAGGCAGUGCCGGGAGGAGAAUGGGUAAUGAUUUUAACAGAGCCUGCUGCAAACGCCUACUCGUUCUUCCACAAGCAACUAAUCUUAGGUCUCAGCAAUGCAAUAUCCCAGUGAAUAGAGGGAUGAAAUGGACUAAGAGGUGAAAUGCUGCCAACAACAGAAGCCAGAAGUACCUCACUCUUCAAGGAUCUCUCACUGGUGUCAGCUUGGGUCAGAAUGGUGUUGCAGUGGGCUGGUGCUGGGUGCUACUCUGACCUCUUUGCCAGGGACCAGGAUGAGAGCUGGUGCUGAUAGCUCUUAACGUAAUGCCUGGGCAAUUUCCUUUUGAAUAGAAAAGGAAAUGGUGAAAUGCUCUCAUAUGUGCUUUUAGUAAUGAUGUGCAGAGAAUUUUAAACAAGACUGUAAAGGUUUAACUUUAAUAAUUCAUCAAUCAAGACACCAACUACAUGCUUGGCAGUAGGUAAAGACCCAAGCGAAAUCAACACAGGACCCUGUCUUUAAAAGCUUUAUAUUUUUACUGAUGGUUACCAAAGAAAAUGAUCAAUGGAUAAAAAGAAUCCAGAACAGAAAAAUGGUAUCAGUAUUGACGAGCAGAAGAGUAUAGCAGACAGCAAGGCAGACUGUGGAGGAAAGUGGCUGAGUAGCCUGGGUUCAAAUCUCAGCUCCAGCACUUAAUAACAAAAUAGACCGAGGCAGUUUAUUUAACCUUUGUGCAAUUUUCUCAUUUAAACUAUGAGAAUAAUAUGAGUACUUCAAAUCAGAUCAGAUGAAGUGUUUAGAAAUGUGAGUAGCAUGUGGUUAGGAAUGACUGUUAGCUAUUAUUAGGGCAAUUGAGAUGUAGAGGGAUAUUAUUUUGGUUGAUUAUUUUUUUCUCAUCAAAUAGUCUUCCUGUAUCAUUAUCUUCCUGUUAGAAUUUGGUUGAUCUGAGGAACUUUACUGAGGUAACAUAAUCUGUUAUGGUACAUCAAGACCACUGGUCUGGAAUUCUGGCAGCAGGGACUCACUAUCUCCAUGGCCUCCAGAUAGAUGAAGGGUUGUGCCGAUGCUUAGCUCUCUCCUGGGAUCACAAAUUGUUCUUUUGAGAAAGGAAGAAAGAAAGAAAGAAAGAAAGAAAGAAAGAAAGAAAGGGAAAGGGUUUCUUUAAUGAAGGGCUAAAACCUUCAUUAUGCACCUCCUUCUAUCCUCUUCAACCAAAAUGGCCUCUCUUCUCUCCACUGAUCUAAAUUCUGUAUGUCUCAGAAUCCAGGGGUCUAUGCAGGAUCUAUAUUUAGGGAUGAGGUGGAAAAAAGGAGUGAAUUUUUGAGUCAUGAAUUAUCUCAGUGAAUCUCUAUAUGCCCUAACCCUUCUGAGAGUUUUAGUUAGAAGUGAAAAUCUGGUCCAUUCAGAGCAUACAGCCUCUCUAUGUCCCAAAGAUUCUUUCUGAUGAUAGAUUUAUCACUGGUUCAUCUUCCUCAUUGGCCAGAUCAGCCUCAAGAGGAAUUGUUAAUGAAGGCUGUCUGUGUCCCUGAUCUAGUCCUGCCUAUCACCUACUUCUUUGUCUUCGGACUUUUGAUUAUUCACCAACUUAUGUGACCAAGGCUUGCUCACCUGACGCAGUUCACUCAUACUGAUGAUGGCCACCACAUCCCAGUGUCUAUUGUCUUAUUUGUUAGCAUCAUUGGUCAGGACGACUCCAUCCUUCAUGUAAACCCUUCAUAGUAUACCAGUGCACUGUCUCCUCUGUUUGACCUGCUGCUUGAAGGUCAGUGGAAUAAUCUCUCUUUAGAUUUCUCUGACUUCAUUUAACAACUCAUCUGAUAAGGUUGGGACAAUCUCCCCUUUGGUUGACUCAAAGCCAAUUGAUUGGGGACCUUAAUUACAUCUUCAAAAUCCCUUGAACUUUGCCAUGUAAAGUAUGCUACUCAUGGGAGUGAUAAACCUUCAUACUCACACAUCCUGCCCAUAUUCAAAGGGAAAGGAUUAUACAGGGCAGGAAUCUUGGGGGCCAUUUGAGAUUUCUGCUUACAACAGUUUGGAAAGAUCUUUAAACAAGUAUGAAGAUCCAGCACAUUUUUCCAUUUCAUUCUCAUGAAUACUUUUUUUCAGUUUUUCACUUAACCAUGCAAAUUAUAGUAGGCCUGGCAUGUGGACUAAAUUAAAGCCUAGUUUGCACUGUUGCCAACCACAGCCAUAAAAUGGAGUCUAGUCUGGGACGCAGGAGAUUUAUGUUUUAGUCACAUCCCUACACACUGAGAUGUAGAGUAUUCUCAGGGAAUAGGCUAUAUCUCACUGAAUUUCCAUUUCUUCCUACUUGUUGGACACACUAUUACCAGUUAUUCUUCCAGCUCUUAGGUUCUUUGGUUCAAUAAUCUCUAUGUCCUGAGGUAUAACUGUUUGAUGACAAAUCCAUGAUGAAAAGUAGAGUAAGUGGGAGAGGGUAAGAUGAGCCAAAGACCAUCAAAGAUAAGAGAAACGAAUAGAAGAUGAAAAGCCUGGAGUCAACUCCUCAGCAUUGUCCAGAAAAGGCAGGCUCUGCUUAGGCUUUAGGAACCUGGGUCCUCCCCAGAAAGGUCUUGUGAACAUCUCAGGAAGCCAGGGGAAUAUAUAUGUACUCCCAGGCCACAGACUUGCCCUUUAAGCCUGAAGCCAAAACAACAUUUUUCCUGCUGGUAUCUGAACUGAGAAUGUGAAUGUUAGCUUUGCCAUUUUCAUGGUUAAAUGGUUUUAUGCUGGGAACUUUGAAGCUAGAGGUUUGCAUAAAUCAAAUUUAAAGACAGAUUAGAUAUCCCCAACUCCCAUAUGUACAAACCUCAAUCUUCAAUUUUCAAAGGGCAGUAAAAUUUCUUAAUCAGCCCACAUAUCUCCAUGGUUGGAACAGUUCCCACAAAUAUGACAGCAAGAGUUUUCUAUCAAAGCUGAAUCUGUCUGGGGGACGAUCAGUUUGCAGGCUUUCCUUCAAGUGUGGCCAAGCUUCAGUUAGGAUAAAUGGCAGGGGUUGGCCCUGGGAUGGGUGGCCGUGUGAUACAAGGGUAAUUGAAUAUGGCUGCUCCAAGCCUGAGAUGGAUUUAACAGACUAAGAGCUCUUGAGACAGCAAACCUGACUCAGAAGUUGGCUGUGACUUUAUGAGCCCUGGAACUUAUUAACUGACCAGUUUUUCCCUCUAUAAAAUAAGGGAUAAUUAUAACUACAAAUUGCAUGGCCUUGCAGUCAUGGGGUCACUAUUGCCCAAGGCUCACCCUCAGCCCUGCAUGUUCUAAUUACUCACUAGGGUUGCCAUGUUCUUGAAUAACCACUGAGGUCAAUAAAGUAAAAGUUAGUAAUCAUUGAA
Felis catus (domestic cat) is the source of this 4298-nucleotide long non-coding RNA. RefSeq lists it as uncharacterized. The transcript has 2 exons. The record is from RefSeq and is a predicted model, not a curated record. Lineage: Eukaryota; Metazoa; Chordata; Mammalia; Carnivora; Felidae.